AAACCAUGCAUUGGGCAUUUUCUAAUUAACUCCUUGAAUUGCUCCCAUGCUCCAUAUAAUGUUUCAUCCUCAGAUUACCAAAAGGACAUAAUAUCAUUCCUCAAUUU
Molecule: non-coding RNA, 107 nt
Organism: Gossypium hirsutum (cotton)
Lineage: Eukaryota; Viridiplantae; Streptophyta; Magnoliopsida; Malvales; Malvaceae
Source: Rfam